RNAcentral lists this ribosomal RNA (990 nucleotides) under Triticum aestivum (bread wheat). Its description in RNAcentral is "partial small subunit ribosomal RNA". The record is from RNAcentral. Lineage: Eukaryota; Viridiplantae; Streptophyta; Magnoliopsida; Poales; Poaceae.
AUGACCCUAAGCCUACCCACUCGCUAUAUAUUCAGCCUAACCCUAGACCCUAGCUGUCCCAUCCACCCAUUCCGCCUGCCGCCACCGCUUGGUCGCUCCCCUCGGGAUCCCCCCUCGAUCCAGAUCCACCAACCUCGCAGUGCCCCAAUCCAUCCAUCCCAUCCUGCCUCCGACCAUCAUCCUCAAUUUCAGCGCCACCCAACCAACCACCGCACCAGCGCCAUGCCCUGCUUCCUAUCUCCUCCCUGUCUCGCCCGGUGCCCGAUCUGCAUCGCGUCGCUGCCUACGUUCCCCGCUGCAGCCAGCCUCCACCGGAGCUCCCUCCGCCGACGAGCAUCACCAGCCCCAGGCCUGUGCUCGACAACCCUGCUCCCUUUCCCCUCCUGCUUCUGUUUUCUGUCUCUCACCCUGCUCUCUCUCUCUCUCUCUGUUGUCUUCGCAGCAACACCAUGGAUGGCCUCCCGUAGCUCCCGCUUGUUGCGCCGGCGUGGUUCCCGGCCGAUCCGCGCCGAAGAGCCUCGGACUCGUCCAGCCCCUUCAUCCCUCGACGCCGAGUUCCUCUGCUUCACCUGCAAGUCCGCUUCCCCGCCGGUCCAUCACCGUUGCCAGCCAUCGGCCUUGCCUCUGCUUCGAACGACAGGACAGCACCUCGCCCUAUGCCUCCUCCUCGACCCCGCCAGGAGCCGUCCUCGCCAUCGUCCUCGCAGCAGGAGCUCUGAAGCGCCGGCGCCGCUAGGUUCGACCGGGCCCGAGGUCCUCCGUCCAUUCACCGGCGUUCCCCUCCGGAUCCCGUCGCCAGAGCCCCAUCCCCGCUGCUCCUCCUCGUCGUCUUCUUCCUGUGCGCCGUCAACGGCCGGUCUUCUUCGAGCAGAGGAAGACGCCCGCUCGCCCGCGCCCCGCGUUGACCGCGUCCUGCUUCAUCCCAGCGUGGGCCAGCGCCUCCCCAAGGCCCAGCCUCCUCUCCACAAGCCGGGCCUUAGCCCAGGGUGA